Long non-coding RNA from Myotis myotis, 1288 nucleotides. RefSeq lists it as uncharacterized. Lineage: Eukaryota; Metazoa; Chordata; Mammalia; Chiroptera; Vespertilionidae. The transcript has 4 exons. The record is from RefSeq and is a predicted model, not a curated record.
UGUCCGACUCUUGUGACAUGUUUGAUCCAAUGAACUCGCUCCCCUUUUCCUGGAGCCUCAGCCUCUGGUGAAACUGGACUUUCAAGUCUGUGCAGGUGAAGGUGUGUGAGAGCGCCCGAGAUGGCAGAACAAGAGCUACAGGGUACAAGCCCGAGGGACGAGCUGCGCGGUGAUUGGCUGCGGGGCGGCCUCAGGUGAGCUGCCAUUGGCAGAGGCGCGCUCAGGUAAGGCCCUUCUCCAAGUGCAGGUAACUCACUCCGAAGUUUACCCGAGUGGAGCGGCGGCACGUUCGCGGCGCGGCGGCAGCCCGUGGGAGCCGAGGGGAUUAUGGGUGGAACGGAAGGACUAAGGAGAGCUGAACUCGGGAUCCCCAGCCAACCGGAAUCCAAGGCGCAGCGCAACCACCGGCCUUUUUCGGGCCCACAAUUGAGAGGACUGUUCGACGGUUUCCGAAGAGUUUGAAGUUUACUUUGCUUUGCUCAGAGGAGGGGAAAACACAACGAUUGCCGGGUUUGUUGCGUGAUUUCAUUUGUAACAUACCCACAACCAGCACUUUUCGUGCCCCAAUUUGGUGUAAAAUAUGCCCAGUAGAUUACAGCUUUUCUAAGAGCUUGGGAUUCCAGAGCUGCAAACAACCACUGUUCCAUAAGCCUGUUGUCUUUUGACGUUUCCAGGCAGACAUCAACAUUGACAUUGUAAUUCAAUAGAAGCUGUGACUACAAAGGUGCUUUAUCCUUCCAGGUUAAUAUGGUUGCUACGGAAACAAUUCAGGAUGAAGCUGACUUUUUUUUUUUGUGGUUCUGCUUCACUUGGUUGGAAACAACUCCAACUAGCAAAGGUGCAAUUCAUUUAUAAUCACUGCUCCCAAAGUGUGUUUGUGAAAGUUUUUUAUAGGGAUCUAGCCCAUACUUAUGAAUUGUGGAACUGAAGGGGGAUGUGAAAAGCUUACCAUAUUUUAUUCCAUGUUACAUUGCGAGAGUUUCAUACAACUUUUAUUUUAAUCUUUAUGGAUCAGAUGUUUUCUAAAAAUUGCAUUGUGAAACAAUGUUUGGUUGUUCCGUGUUUUCACCUAUGGCAAAUGAAUUUCAAAAGUUUAUGCUUACUUUUUAAAGACAUUAGAAGUACACACAGUUUUUAAAGAUUAUAUAAUAUUUUAAGGUUAUAUACAUUACCCACUUCUUCUUUACCUUCUUAAUCACCUUCUGAGAGGCAACCACAUUCCACUUGUAUCUGUCUCUUUUGUCAUUUACCUCCAGACUUAUCAAUAAAUGUCAUGGUUAUCUCUUGA